UGGAGAUUUCCAUAUCAGUCUGGAAUAGACUUUUUUGGAGGUUUGCUGAAGGGAGGGUGACAUUGAACUGGCCACUACUGGAAUUGCUGUUCCUGAUUGUAUGGGGUCCUUCAAGGUACACUGUUAGUUAUAAAAGUCCGUGCAGAAAAUGAGUGAAAGAUCCAAAUUCAACUACUUACCCAUACUGUUACUGUUUUAUUAUGUAAAGUAAAUCAGAAAUGUAUCACUUAAAAA
This is a long non-coding RNA of Chinchilla lanigera (long-tailed chinchilla), 234 nucleotides long. RefSeq lists it as uncharacterized. The transcript has 2 exons. NCBI's taxonomy places the organism in Eukaryota, Metazoa, Chordata, Mammalia, Rodentia, Chinchillidae. The record is from RefSeq and is a predicted model, not a curated record.